GUUCGUCACGUCGGAUGUGAAACUCUGGGGCUUAACCCCAGACCUGCAUUCGAUACGGGCGAGCUUGAGUAUGGUAGGGGAGUCUGGAAUUCCUGGUGUAGCGGUGGAAUGCGCAGAUAUCAGGAGGAACACCAAUGGCGAAGGCAGGACUCUGGGCCAUUACUGACACUGAGGAGCGAAAGCGUGGGGAGCGAACAGGAUUAGAUACCCUGGUAGUCCACGCCGUAAACGGUGGGCACUAGUUGUGGGGACCUUCCACGGUCUCUGCGACGCAGCUAACGCAUUAAGUGCCCCGCCUGGGGAGUACGAUCGCAAGAUUAAAACUCAAAGGAAUUGACGGGGCCCCGCACAAGCAGCGGAGCAUGCGGCUUAAUUCGACGCAACGCGAAGAACCUUACCAAGGCUUGACAUAUACAGGAAUAUGGCAGAGAUGUCAUAGCCGCAAGGUCUGUAUACAGGUGGUGCAUGGUUGUCGUCAGCUCGUGUCGUGAGAUGUUGGGUUAAGUCCCGCAACGAGCGCAACCCUCGUUCUGUGUUGCCAGCAUUUAGUUGGGGACUCACAGGAGACUGCCGGGGUUAACUCGGAGGAAGGUGGGGAUGACGUCAAAUCAUCAUGCCCCUUAUGUCUUGGGCUGCACGCAUGCUACAAUGGCUGGUACAAACGGCUGCGAUACCGCAAGGUGGAGCGAAUCCGAUAAAGCCAGUCUCAGUUCGGAUUGGGGUCUGCAACUCGACCCCAUGAAGUCGGAGUUGCUAGUA
This 759-nucleotide ribosomal RNA is filed under the name uncultured bacterium. Its description in RNAcentral is "bacterial SSU rRNA". It matches the Rfam family "Bacterial small subunit ribosomal RNA", at positions 578 to 1340 of the family's 1533-position model. The record is from RNAcentral.